Molecule: ribosomal RNA, 132 nt
Filed under: Melogale moschata (Chinese ferret-badger)
Lineage: Eukaryota; Metazoa; Chordata; Mammalia; Carnivora; Mustelidae
Description: partial 16S ribosomal RNA
Source: RNAcentral
AGGUUGGGGUGACCUCGGAGAAUAGAACAACCUCCGAGUGAUUUCAGCACAGACAAACCAGUCGAAGCAUUUUAUCAUUUAUUGAUCCAACAACUUGAUCAACGGAACAAGUUACCCUAGGGAUAACAGCGC